RNAcentral lists this transfer RNA (78 nucleotides) under Myxococcales bacterium. Its description in RNAcentral is "tRNA-Pro". It matches the Rfam family "tRNA". Rfam says of the family: Transfer RNA (tRNA) molecules are approximately 80 nucleotides in length. Their secondary structure includes four short double-helical elements and three loops (D, anti-codon, and T loops). The record is from RNAcentral. RNAcentral also lists the same sequence under 5 other names. Lineage: Bacteria; Pseudomonadati; Myxococcota; Myxococcia; Myxococcales.
CGGGGCGUAGCGCAGCCUGGUUAGCGCACCAGACUGGGGGUCUGGGGGUCGCUGGUUCGAAUCCAGUCGCCCCGACCA